GUUAAUCGAGACUAAAUCUCUCCGUCGACGGGACUCCGGGGUUCAGUCUUUAUCUUGGCGCGGCGCGGUUCGGACGCGGUUUCGGGAAGAUUGCUCCACUAACAGCCUCAUCUGGGACGUGAUAGGCGAGGCAAAGAUUGAUGCCUUAAUCGGAUUUGAUUGGCCUCCGGCAGUGUAUUGUCGUUGUUGUUGUUGUUGUUUUUAUAGCUGUUGUGGGAUUUGUGGUGUAAAGAUAAUUGCAGUCGUUUGUCGUCAUCGUCGUCGUCGUCGUGGGGAUGAAAGGGUCACAAUCGGGGAUGACCCCUAAACUGGAGUGAUUGGGAGCACGUUUGUUAAGUGCGUGUGUGCUGCGGCUGUGUGUCUUGUUGUGGUGGCGCAAGCAGUGCUUAUAUCGCGUGCUGGAUGCCCGUAGCUGAAGUGUGAUUACCAUGUAAAUGAUAUAUCGUGUCGAUACAAUUAAAGCCCGGAUAGUAGUGCGUUCGGUGUUGCCUGUCAAGAUAAUCAAGAAUCCAUAAAUGUUGAAGAUUUAUAGUUUGAAUUACAUGCAACUAAAGAAGAUCACUGGGAGCAAUCGAAGAAAUACAAUCGAAUUCGGAAAUAGUGGUUGUGUUCUAUAAAUGUGCUUAAUGUGUUUAUUGUUGGUUGAAGAAAACUGUGGAACAGAUAAUUACGUGGAAUAACUACAGCUGGUGAAAAACUUACAAUAAGGUGCAUGACACGACUCAUACAUUACCAGCGAUUGUGUAAUAUGCAAAAAGGGUGUAAAAGCAACAUGCCGAACGAAUACCGUAUUUAAUUUGUAUCAUAAAGUGGUUGAUCAACCGUGGUGAAAAUGGAUGUUUAAUAAAUAAUGAAAGCUAUGAAUAUCAAUAGUGUACAAUAAUUAUUAUCGUUCCGUGUUAAAUGAUGUGAAUCCAUAAUUGCUUCUCCGGGUUUCGCAAAUGGCUUUUUAUCCCUCGGGUUUUAUUUCAAAGUGAGUGUUAAAGUGAACCCAUCGAUUGUGCUCCUAAAUAAUUAACGUGAAAUUUCAUCGAAGGAUUUGCCGAUCAUAAUAUAGAUGUUAAAUAUUAAUUCGCGAUUUGCGCAAGUAAUCAGCUUUCGAUUAACGGAUUCUGAUUAGGAGAUUGAAAAACAAAAACUUAGUACAAUCUCGAGCUGACACGUGUUAACCGUAACCGGAGAAAGCUUAUUUCCCGUGCGUGUGUGCAUGCCAAGGACCACCAGCAAAGGGGAAGGAUUUCCCACGAGGAUUACCGACACGAGAUUUUAUCACUUGUGCUGCCACGGUUUUAUGGAAGCAGGAGAAUUUAAAUUGAGCGCACUGCAAAGGACGAAACAUGCCGGUCGAGUUCCGGUAGAGAGGAAGCUGAGUAAUGCAGCUGGAGAGGAUCCCUGCAAUGAGCCGAAGAAUGCCUCCGGUU
Long non-coding RNA from Ochlerotatus camptorhynchus, 1421 nucleotides. RefSeq lists it as uncharacterized. The record is from RefSeq and is a predicted model, not a curated record. NCBI's taxonomy places the organism in Eukaryota, Metazoa, Arthropoda, Insecta, Diptera, Culicidae. The transcript is spliced from 4 exons.